RNAcentral lists this ribosomal RNA (392 nucleotides) under uncultured bacterium. RNAcentral describes it as "partial 16S ribosomal RNA". It matches the Rfam family "Bacterial small subunit ribosomal RNA", at positions 523 to 918 of the family's 1533-position model. The record is from RNAcentral.
AUACGGAGGAUCCGAGCGUUAUCCGGAUUUAUUGGGUUUAAAGGGUGCGCAGGCGGCCAUUUAAGUCAGCGGUUAAAUCGUGGGGCUCAACCCCAUUCUGCCGUUGAUACUGGGUGGCUUGAUUGCGGUCGAGGUUGGCGGAAUUCGUUGUGUAGCGGUGAAAUGCAUAGAUAUGACGAAGAACACUGAUUGCGUAGGCAGCUGACCAGACCGCAAAUGACGCUCAUGCACGAAAGUGCGGGGAUCGAACAGGAUUAGAUACCCUGGUAGUCCGCACAGUAAACGAUGAAUACUUGUUUUCGGCGAUAUAAUGUCGGAGGCAAAGCGAAAGCGAUAAGUAUUCCACCUGGGGAGUACGCCGGCAACGGUGAAACUCAAAUGAAUUGGCGGGG